RNAcentral lists this ribosomal RNA (479 nucleotides) under uncultured bacterium. Its description in RNAcentral is "bacterial SSU rRNA". It matches the Rfam family "Bacterial small subunit ribosomal RNA", at positions 9 to 795 of the family's 1533-position model. The record is from RNAcentral.
GAGUUUGAUCCUGGCUCAGAAUGAACGUUGGCGGCGUGGAUUAGGCAUGCAAGUCGUGCGAGAAGCCUUCCUUCGGGGAGGUGGACAGCGGCGAAAGGGAGAGUAACGCGUGGAUACCUACCUUUGGGUUCGGAAUAGCGGCGGGAAACUGCCGGUAAUGCCGGAUAAUAUCUCCGGAUCAAAGCUUCGUGCCAGCAGCCGCGGUAACACGAACCGUACAAACGUUAUUCGGAAUCACUGGGCUUAAAGGGUGCGCAGGCGGCUCGGUAAGUUGGGUGUGAAAUCCCACGGCUCAACCGUGGAACUGCGCCCAAUACUGCCGAGCUUGAGGGAGACAGAGGUGAGCGGAACUGAUGGUGGAGCGGUGAAAUGCGUUGAUAUCAUUAGGAACACCGGUGGCGAAGGCGGCUCACUGGGUCUCUUCUGACGCUCAGGCACGAAAGCUAGGGUAGCGAACGGGAUUAGAUACCCUGGUAGUC